GAUGAACGCUGGCGGCGUGCCUAAUACAUGCCAGUCGAGCGAACGGACGAGAAGCUUGCUUCUCUGACGUUAGCGGCGGACGGGUGAGUAACACGUGGAUAACCUACCUAUAAGACUGGGAUAACUUCGGGAAACCGGAGCUAAUACCGGAUAAUAUUUUGAACCGCAUGGUUCAAUAGUGAAAGACGGUUUUGCUGUCACUUAUAGAUGGAUCCGCGCUGCAUUAGCUAGUUGGUAAGGUAACGGCCUACCAAGGCAACGAUGCAUAGCCGACCUGAGAGGGUGAUCGGCCACACUGGAACUGAGACACGGUCCAGACUCCUACGGGAGGCAGCAGUAGGGAAUCUUCCGCAAUGGGCGAAAGCCUGACGGAGCAACGCCGCGUGAGUGAUGAAGGUCUUCGGAUCGUAAAACUCUGUUAUUAGGGAAGAACAAAUGUGUAAGUAACUGUGCACGUCUUGACGGUACCUAAUCAGAAAGCCACGGCUAACUACGUG
Molecule: ribosomal RNA, 497 nt
Filed under: uncultured bacterium
Lineage: Bacteria
Description: partial 16S ribosomal RNA
Rfam family: Bacterial small subunit ribosomal RNA
Source: RNAcentral